This 432-nucleotide ribosomal RNA is filed under the name uncultured bacterium. Its description in RNAcentral is "partial 16S ribosomal RNA". It matches the Rfam family "Bacterial small subunit ribosomal RNA", at positions 338 to 795 of the family's 1533-position model. The record is from RNAcentral.
CCUACGGGAGGCUGCAGUGGGGAAUAUUGGACAAUGGGGGAAACCCUGAUCCAGCAAUGCCGCGUGAGUGAUGAAGGCCUUAGGGUUGUAAAGCUCUUUUGCCAGGGAUGCUGUACCUGGAGAAUAAGCCCCGGCUAACUUCGUGCCAGCAGCCGCGGUAAUACGAAGGGGGCGAGCGUUGUUCGGAAUUACUGGGCGUAAAGGGCGCGUAGGCGGCGACCCAAGUCAGAUGUGAAAGUCCUGGGCUUAACCUGGGGACUGCAUUUGAUACUGGGUUGCUUGAAUUCGGGAGAGGAUAGCGGAAUUCCCAGUGUAGAGGUGAAAUUCGUAGAUAUUGGGAAGAACACCGGUGGCGAAGGCGGCUAUCUGGACCGAAUUGACGCUGAGGCGCGAAAGCGUGGGGAGCAAACAGGAUUAGAUACCCUUGUAGUC